GAUGGUUAAUUACGUUUUUCUGGUUAUCAGUUAGACCGCAUGGUUCUAUUAUUACAAUAGGAAAACACUGAGACGUUAAAUUGCAUGGUUUUAUUAUCAUAGGGAAACACCCGAGACGUCCCAAAAAUAUAUAGGUGCUCCUAUUUAUGGAGGAACAUUAAACAGUUGUGUACACACACAUGGCGGCAAGGAACACGAUCGGAAAUUAAUUUGACGAUAUCUAAACGUUUCGAAACGAAGUGAAAAAUAUCGUGCGCCACGUGGGCGCUUACAUUUGUCACUGUAUGCGCCAUUUCUUGUCAAUAUGCGCUAUAGGCGCAAGGCGCAC
Molecule: long non-coding RNA, 328 nt
Filed under: Mytilus galloprovincialis (Mediterranean mussel)
Lineage: Eukaryota; Metazoa; Mollusca; Bivalvia; Mytilida; Mytilidae
Source: RNAcentral